AUGCUCCGUCGCAGCUCCAACGAUCUCGGCGGUGCUCCAAUGAAACCUCAUCGCAGCAUGGCCAGGCACGACGGUGCUCUGUCGCGGCUCCAUUGCAGCGCCGACGACCUCGGUAGUGCUCCAUUGAAACCUCAUUGCAGCACGGACGGCACGACGGUGCUCCGUCGCGGCUCCAUUGCAGCGCCGACGACCCCCGGCGUCCCGGCGAAGCUCCAUUGCCGCCCCCGCCGUGCUCCAUUGCAGCCGCGGCGGAGCUUCAUUGCAGCCACCGGCGCGCGGCGUUCCGACGAAGCUCCAUUGCAGCCAACGCGGAGCUCCAUUGCAGCCACCGGCGCGCGGCGUUUCCGACGAAACUCCAUUGCAUCCCCGGCCGCGCCCCACUGCAGCCGCGGCGGAGCUCCAUUGCAUCCCCGGCCGCGCUCCACUGCAGCCGCGGCGGAGCUCCAUUGCAGCUGGCGUGGUCCAUUGCAGCCCCCUGGCACGCUCCAUUGCAACCCGGUCGGCAGCAGCGGGAGCUGCGAUGCAGCUCCGCUGGCACUUCAAUGCAACCGCGGCGGAGCUUCAACAACCUCGCUCCCUUGCGGCGGCCAUGGCGGGCGCUACGACGUAACGCACGGCGAUGACGGCGGAAGCUGCGAUGCAGCUCCGGUGGCGCUUCAACGCAGCCACGGCAGACCUUCGACAACCUCGCUCGUGCUCUACUAUAGCCCCGGCGGGGUGAGGAUGAAUCAGGCUGCUCCUGUUGCCUCUCCUCUGCCAUUGAACGAGAAAAGGGGGAAAAAGAAGGAAGAAGAUGAGAAGUGGAAUGAGCGGAGGAGAGAGCAUCCGAGGGGAUAA
Molecule: ribosomal RNA, 837 nt
Filed under: Triticum aestivum (bread wheat)
Lineage: Eukaryota; Viridiplantae; Streptophyta; Magnoliopsida; Poales; Poaceae
Description: partial small subunit ribosomal RNA
Source: RNAcentral